CCUACGGGAGGCAGCAGUCGAGAAUCAUUCACAAUGGGGGAAACCCUGAUGGUGCGACGCCGCGUGGGGGAAUGAAGGUCUUCGGAUUGUAAACCCCUGUCAUGUGGGAGCAAAUUAAAAAGAUAGUACCACAAGAGGAAGAGACGGCUAACUCUGUGCCAGCAGCCGCGGUAAUACAGAGGUCUCAAGCGUUGUUCGGAAUCACUGUGCGUAAAGCGUGCGUAGGCUGUUUCGUAAGUCGUGUGUGAAAGGCGCGGGCUCAACCCGCGGACGGCACAUGAUACUGCGAGACUAGAGUAGUGGAGGGGGAACCGGAAUUCUCGGUGUAGCAGUGAAAUGCGUAGAUAUCGAGAGGAACACUCGUGGCGAAGGCGGGUUCCUGGACAUUAACUGACGCUGAGGCACGAAGGCCAGGGGAGCGAAAGGGAUUAGAUACCCCUGUAGUC
This 446-nucleotide ribosomal RNA is filed under the name uncultured bacterium. Its description in RNAcentral is "partial 16S ribosomal RNA". It matches the Rfam family "Bacterial small subunit ribosomal RNA", at positions 338 to 795 of the family's 1533-position model. The record is from RNAcentral.